ACGCACGCUGGCGGCAGGCCUAACACCUGCAAGUCGAGCGAGGACUUCGGUUCUAGCGGCGGACGGGUGAGUAACGCGUGGGAAUGUGCCCUUCUCUACGGAAUAGCCCUGGGAAACUGGGAGUAAUACCGUAUACGCCCUAUUGGGGAAAGAUUUAUCGGAGAAGGAUCAGCCCGCGUUGGAUUAGGUAGUUGGUGGGGUAAUGGCCUACCAAGCCGACGAUCCAUAGCUGGUUUGAGAGGAUGAUCAGCCACACUGGGACUGAGACACGGCCCAGACUCCUACGGGAGGCAGCAGUGGGGAAUCUUAGACAAUGGGGGCAACCCUGAUCUAGCCAUGCCGCGUGAGUGAUGAAGGCCUUAGGGUUGUAAAGCUCUUUCAGCUGGGAAGAUAAUGACGGUACCAGCAGAAGAAGCCCCGGCUAACUCCGUG
RNAcentral lists this ribosomal RNA (432 nucleotides) under uncultured bacterium. RNAcentral describes it as "partial 16S ribosomal RNA". It matches the Rfam family "Bacterial small subunit ribosomal RNA", at positions 29 to 507 of the family's 1533-position model. The record is from RNAcentral.